RNAcentral lists this ribosomal RNA (482 nucleotides) under uncultured bacterium. RNAcentral's name for it is "partial 16S ribosomal RNA". It matches the Rfam family "Bacterial small subunit ribosomal RNA", at positions 30 to 507 of the family's 1533-position model. The record is from RNAcentral.
AUUGAACGCUGGCGGCAUGCUUUACACGUGCAAGUCGAACGGUAACAGGCCGCAAGGUGCUGACGAGUGGCGAACGGGUGAGUAAUGCAUCGGAACGUGCCCAGUCGUGGGGGAUAACUACUCGAAAGAGUAGCUAAUACCGCAUACGAUCUAUGGAUGAAAGCGGGGGACCGUAAGGCCUCGCGCGAUUGGAGCGGCCGAUGUCAGAUUAGGUAGUUGGUGGGGUAAAGGCUCACCAAGCCAACGAUCUGUAGCUGGUCUGAGAGGACGACCAGCCACGCUGGGACUGAGACACGGCCCAGACUCCUACGGGAGGCAGCAGUGGGGAAUUUUGGACAAUGGGCGCAAGCCUGAUCCAGCAAUGCCGCGUGCAGGAAGAAGGCCUUCGGGUUGUAAACUGCUUUUGUACGGAACGAAACGGCUCUGGUUAAUACCCGGGGCUAAUGACGGUACCGUAAGAAUAAGCACCGGCUAACUACGUG